Molecule: long non-coding RNA, 876 nt
Filed under: Anser brachyrhynchus (Pink-footed goose)
Lineage: Eukaryota; Metazoa; Chordata; Aves; Anseriformes; Anatidae
Description: lncRNA (ENSABRG00000018864.1)
Source: RNAcentral
UAUUAAGCAACUCAAAGUUUAAUUUAAAAAUUUUCCUCAAUUUAAUUUUUCAUCCAUCUGGAAAUGCUAGAAUUGGUGAAAUUGUGUAUGUGCAUGCUGGAGGGAAGGAAAACGUUGGCAAAGGUUGGUGCACAAGGGCUUUUUGGAAGGGCAGGAGACUUGACCACAGCGAGGUCGGUCCCACAUCUCUAACUGCCACUGCGGACUAAGAAGACUCUGCAGCUGAGGGUCUCUCGAAGGAAGGCUGAUCCCUUGAAUCCAAAUGAACACAGUGUCUAGGGAAGAGGUGUGAUGUGGAAGAAAAUCCCGAGUAAUGAUAGGCAUGUUAAUCUGGGGCGAUCAUUCCCUAUUUUGUGCCAGAGAAGUACAACACAAUUGUGACAGCAACUGGAUGAGACUGCGGUGGGAUACAUCUGCUCUACCAAAAGUGAGACAGCCAGUCUGAACCCACCACCUGGCUCCUCCAGUACCCUGAAAAGAGACAAGCAUCAGCAGAAGGAAAUAUAACUUCAAAAACUGUGAUACCUAGUCCUACAUCAACAACAAAAACAGCAGGAGACACAACUACAACAACUGUGACACCUACUGCUAACUCUAAAACAGAUGCAUCAUCAGGUAAGAAUGAAAAAUCCAGCAGGCUGCCCCUUAUGAGGACAUAUUGGGGUUACUCACUGCAUGGAGCUCCAGAGCCCUGACACUCAGUGGCGUAUUCCCCUGCCUGGUCUACCCUUAGUUUCUCUGGGGGAGGAGUCUCAGAGCCCCUGGACAAGGCUGAAUGUCCUCUCCUGACAUUUUUUCCUUCCUGGCUGGCCUUUGCUGUGAGGGAGGAGUGCUGGGGAGGACUUCACAACCUGGUCCUCUCCUGGUGAGGCUCUC